This 30-nucleotide non-coding RNA is filed under the name Rattus norvegicus (Norway rat). The record is from RNAcentral. Lineage: Eukaryota; Metazoa; Chordata; Mammalia; Rodentia; Muridae.
UCCAAGUGCUUUCAUUCUGUGUGGUCCGGU